This 301-nucleotide ribosomal RNA is filed under the name uncultured bacterium. RNAcentral describes it as "partial 16S ribosomal RNA". It matches the Rfam family "Bacterial small subunit ribosomal RNA", at positions 509 to 809 of the family's 1533-position model. The record is from RNAcentral.
CAGUCGCCGCGGUAAUACGUAGGUGGCAAGCGUUGUCCGGAAUCAUUGGGUUUAAAGGGUCCGUAGGCGGUUUAGUAAGUCAGUGGUGAAAGCCCAUCGCUCAACGGUGGAACGGCCAUUGAUACUGCUGAACUUGAAUUAUUAGGAAGUAACUAGAAUAUGUAGUGUAGCGGUGAAAUGCUUAGAGAUUACAUGGAAUACCAAUUGCGAAGGCAGGUUACUACUAAUUGAUUGACGCUGAUGGACGAAAGCGUGGGGAGCGAACAGGAUUAGAUACCCCCGUAGUCCCUGUCUCUUAUAA